Molecule: transfer RNA, 65 nt
Filed under: Dipodomys ordii (Ord's kangaroo rat)
Lineage: Eukaryota; Metazoa; Chordata; Mammalia; Rodentia; Heteromyidae
Rfam family: tRNA
About the family: Transfer RNA (tRNA) molecules are approximately 80 nucleotides in length. Their secondary structure includes four short double-helical elements and three loops (D, anti-codon, and T loops).
Source: Rfam by way of RNAcentral
GGUGGCUCAGCGGUAGAGUGCAUGCAUUGCAAGCAUGAGGCCCUGGGUUUGAUUCCUCAGCACCA